GAUGAACGCUGGCGGCGUGCCUAAUACAUGCAAGUCGAGCGAACGGACGAGAAGCUUGCUCCUCUGAUGUUAGCGGCGGACGGGUGAGUAACACGUGGAUAACCUACCUAUAAGACUGGGAUAACUUCGGGAAACCGGAGCUAAUACCGGAUAAUAUUUUGAACCGCAUGGUUCAAAAGUGAAAGACGGUUUUGCUGUCACUUAUAGAUGGAUCCGCGCUGCAUUAGCUAGUUGGUAAGGUAACGGCUUACCAAGGCAACGAUGCAUAGCCGACCUGAGGGGGUGAUCGGCCACACUGGAACUGAGACACGGUCCAGACUCCUACGGGGGGCAGCAGUAGGGAAUCUUCCGCAAUGGGCGAAAGCCUGACGGAGCAACGCCGCGUGAGUGAUGAAGGUCUUCGGAUCGUAAAACUCUGUUAUUAGGGAAAAACAUAUGUGUAAGUAACUGUGCACAUCUUGACGGUACCUAAUCAGAAAGCCGCGGCUAACUGCG
This 495-nucleotide ribosomal RNA is filed under the name uncultured bacterium. RNAcentral describes it as "partial 16S ribosomal RNA". It matches the Rfam family "Bacterial small subunit ribosomal RNA", at positions 28 to 505 of the family's 1533-position model. The record is from RNAcentral.